Molecule: long non-coding RNA, 1776 nt
Organism: Cucurbita moschata (crookneck pumpkin)
Lineage: Eukaryota; Viridiplantae; Streptophyta; Magnoliopsida; Cucurbitales; Cucurbitaceae
Exons: 4
Source: RefSeq, a predicted model, not a curated record
ACAGGGGAGGCUAGAUUUUUUUUUUCUCUCAAUUUCCUCUCUGCCCCUUGUGCUCCAUUUUGCCAUAAUGUACGGAUUUGGAGUUAUAACCCAUGUAUUUCAUCUUUUUCUUCCUUUUGUAUUCCAUUUUUGUCCGGCAUCUGAUGUGCUCCAUUUUGCCAAAAGUUCUUAAUCGAGGUUAGCAUUCACAUGUGUGUUUAAUCUAUUGAGCAUAGUUUAAUAUUUGUGCCCUGAAGGAGGAGUACAUAAUACCCUACAUUUUAAAACAAGAAUGAGCAGAGUGGAUUUGCAUCCAGGUUUCUCAUUUCUUAAACAUUUGGAUUGAUACUUCUUCCUUUUUGUUCUAGGGUUUAGGGUUUCUCUAUGUUUUGAUGUUUGGUUCUCUCUGGUUUUGGCCCUUCAUUUUCUCAAUUAAUUUGGAUAUUCAGUUUGAGAUGAUGCUUCUGAUUUCUAGCAUUUUGAUUAAUUUAAGAGAUUUAGUUAAAUUGAGGGGUGUAAUUCUCACAUAAUUUUGUUGUUGUUUAUUUUCCUUGUAUAAUUUGUUUCACUCAUGGCACCAACUUGGGGAGCUAAGGCUCUGUUUCAACUUUGUGAGUUAUACUUUACAUCUUCCAAUUUUGUGGGCAUGAUUUUUCCCAUGUUUGUUUCAAUAUAUCAGCAUAUCAUCCUUACUAAUUGAAGUUCUAAAGCUAUACUUUUGACAAAUUUAAACACUUUGUUUCUCUUAAUUGGUCUAAUUUGUCAUCUUUCUCACUUUCAUUUUCUACUACUUGAGUGAUGCUGUAAUAUUAUGGUAGAACAAGAGGAUGAACUUAAACUAUUGAAUGUACUACUUCCUCCGAUCAGAGGACCAAAUUAAAGUUGUAUUAUUUCUUACUGAACUAUUUCAUUUUAAAAGACUUUAUUAUUUAGUUAUAUCAAUUAUUUAUUCAUAUAAAUUUCAGGCAUUUGGGGACAAAUUUGUCUAUAUGAUUAGAUUGAUUAAUUGGAGUUUAAAUAUGCUUAAUCUAGACAAACAUAUUGAACUAAACUCAGAAUGCAUGCAUGAUUAAAGCGAUAACACUGAGGAGUGGAAGCAUAAUGGUGCCCCUAGAAAGCGUGUUGUCGGUGAUUAGUAUCAGAAUGAAACUACACCUAUUCAUGAGGCUACAAAGCCUUCUAUUUCCUUUCUUCCUUUUCUCCUUCUCAUAGUUGUUACCCUCACUGUUCUAGUAAAAAGGCCGUUUGUGUAGGGGGAUUAUAUAUGCAUUGUAACUUGCUACUGUGAAGGUGGAGACAUAAAGUUUGCAAAUGGUUGGCAUAGUUGUUAACUAGCUAAGCGGUAGUUUAUCUGCACUCCAAUCGGAUGCUACAAAAAGAUCUUAAGGGGACUUUAGACUUGCAAAACUACUCAAUACAAAAGACCUUGCUUCAUCAUCAUCGCAGAGGUUUUUAAACAUGCAGAAUAUAUUAAAGAAGAGAGAGGCCAGCAGAAAGAUGUCGGGUCAACUGCUGUCCUAUUACGGGAUCGUCUCUUUGUUGCUAAUGUUGAAUAGUCCAGAGUAGUUGCAUCUAGAGUUGGUUCAGGUUGCCUAUUAUUUUUUUUCUGUCAAUAGAUGAUUCUGGGAUAGAGGACUUGUACUUCAAAGUCGUGACAUGAUAACGUUUCCUUGAAAAUCAUUGCAAGUAGUGGAGAAUAUUUUAUCUUGUAUAGUUUGUAUAACUUUAUUUUAAGAAAUGAUGGAAUACUAUUAUUGUAAUGGAAAUAGAUUAUGAAAUCUCAAUUAUGAAUAAUGG